GUGUAGUGACACUGAAGCAAGAGUGUAAGUGGUUGUUAGAGAAUAAUUAGCACUGAACGUGACUAACAUGAGAAGUCACAUGGAUGUCUGCUGACUUGUUAGAGACUAGUUCUAGAGGAUGCAAGCAAACAAGAUUAAUAACAAUGCAGCAGACAACCAGCAAACAAUGAUAACGGAGGUGAUUAUGUUAAAAUUGAGAAGAGAUUACUGUUAUGCAUGCAAAUAAUUCAAUCCCUUAGA
Molecule: long non-coding RNA, 240 nt
Filed under: Elaeis guineensis (African oil palm)
Lineage: Eukaryota; Viridiplantae; Streptophyta; Magnoliopsida; Arecales; Arecaceae
Description: long non-coding RNA (EGUI_LNC053358)
Source: RNAcentral